AUUGAACGCUGGCGGCAGGCCUAACACAUGCAAGUCGAGCGGAGCGGCGGACGGGUAAGUAAUGCCUAGGAAUCUGCCUGGUAGUGGGGGAUAACGUACGGAGACGGGCGCUAAUAACGCAUACUUUCAGAUGAGCCUAGGGUGGAUUAGCUAGUUGGUGGGGUAAAGGCCUACCAAGGCGACGAUCCGUAACUGGUCUGAGGGGACGAUCCGUCACACUGGAACUGAGACACGGUCCAGACGCCUACGGGAGGCAGCAGUGGGGAAUAUUGGACAAUGGGCGAAAGCCUGAUCCAGCCAUGCCGCGUGUGUGAAGAAGGUCUUCGGAUUGUAAAGCACUUUAAGUUGGGAGGCGUUACCAACAGAAUAAGCACCGGCUAACUUCGUGCCAGCAGCCGCGGUAAUUC
RNAcentral lists this ribosomal RNA (407 nucleotides) under uncultured bacterium. RNAcentral's name for it is "partial 16S ribosomal RNA". It matches the Rfam family "Bacterial small subunit ribosomal RNA", at positions 30 to 526 of the family's 1533-position model. The record is from RNAcentral.